Molecule: ribosomal RNA, 468 nt
Filed under: uncultured bacterium
Lineage: Bacteria
Description: partial 16S ribosomal RNA
Rfam family: Bacterial small subunit ribosomal RNA
Source: RNAcentral
GACGAACGCUGGCGGCGUGCUUAACACAUGCAAGUCGAACGGAAAGGCCCUGCUUUUGUGGGGUGCUCGAGUGGCGAACGGGUGAGUAACACGUGAGUAACCUGCCCUUGACUUUGGGAUAACUUCAGGAAACUGGGGCUAAUACCGGAUAGGAGCUCCUGCUGCAUGGUGGGGGUUGGAAAGUUUCGGCGGUUGGGGAUGGACUCGCGGCUUAUCAGCUAGUUGGUGGGGUAGUGGCUUACCAAGGCUUUGACGGGUAGCCGGCCUGAGAGGGUGACCGGCCACAUUGGGACUGAGAUACGGCCCAGACUCCUACGGGAGGCAGCAGUGGGGAAUAUUGCACAAUGGGCGGAAGCCUGAUGCAGCAACGCCGCGUGCGGGAUGACGGCCUUCGGGUUGUAAACCGCUUUCGCCUGUGACGAAGCGUGAGUGACGGUAAUGGGUAAAGAAGCACCGGCUAACUACGUG